Molecule: ribosomal RNA, 492 nt
Filed under: uncultured bacterium
Lineage: Bacteria
Description: partial 16S ribosomal RNA
Rfam family: Bacterial small subunit ribosomal RNA
Source: RNAcentral
AGUGAACGCUGGCGGUAUGCCUAACACAUGCAAGUCGAACGGCAGCACGAUAAGAGUUGGCAGUUAGGUGUGGAGUGGGGCACGCGUGUGUGAUACAUCGCAAAAUGUACUGUUUCGGGGGAGAUAUAGUCGAGAGACUAACUCAUAUCGCACAUGCCCCGUAGGUGAGAGAGCGGGGGCGCUAGGGCCCUUGCGCGAGUGAAUGCGCCUAUGUCGGAUUAGCUAGUUGGCGGGGUAAAGGCUCACCAAGGCGACGAUCAGUAGCUGGUCUGAGAGGACGAUCAGCCACACUGGGACUGAGACACGGCCCAGACUCCUACGGGAGGCAGCAGUGGGGAAUUUUGGACAAUGGGCGAAAGCCUGAUCCAGCAAUGCCGCGUGUGUGAAGAAGGCCUUCGGGUUGUAAAGCACUUUUGUCCGGAAAGAAAUGGCUCUGGUUAAUACCUGGGGUCGAUGACGGUACCGGAAGAAUAAGGACCGGCUAACUACGUG